GACGAACGCUGGCGGCGUGCUUAACACAUGCAAGUCGAACGGAAAGGCCCUGCUUUUGUGGGGUGCUCGAGUGGCGAACGGGUGAGUAACACGUGAGUAACCUGCCCUUGACUUUGGGAUAACUUCAGGAAACUGGGGCUAAUACCGGAUAGGAGCUCCUGCUGCAUGGUGGGGGUUGGAAAGUUUCGGCGGUUGGGGAUGGACGCGCGGCUUAUCAGCUUGUUGGUGGGGUAGUGGCUUACCAAGGCUUUGACGGGUAGCCGGACUGAGAGGGUGACCGGCCACAUUGGGCCUGAGAUACGGCCCAGACUCAUACGGGAGGCAAGAGUGGGGACUAGUGCAAAAUGGGCGGAAGCCUGAUGCAGCAACGCCGCGUGCGGGAUGACGGCCUUCGGGUUGUAAACCGCUUUCGCCUGUGACGAAGCGUGAGUGACGGUAAUGGGUAAAGAAGCACCGGCUAACUACGU
RNAcentral lists this ribosomal RNA (467 nucleotides) under uncultured bacterium. RNAcentral describes it as "partial 16S ribosomal RNA". It matches the Rfam family "Bacterial small subunit ribosomal RNA", at positions 28 to 506 of the family's 1533-position model. The record is from RNAcentral.